Molecule: long non-coding RNA, 584 nt
Organism: Phodopus roborovskii (desert hamster)
Lineage: Eukaryota; Metazoa; Chordata; Mammalia; Rodentia; Cricetidae
Exons: 5
Source: RefSeq, a predicted model, not a curated record
ACUUCCAUUACAUUUGCUUUCAGAUAAAGAUGAAUGUCAUGCAUCAUCCUAUAUGAAAGUUUUGGAAGUUAGAAGACAGACAUAAGAGAAAAGACUAAAGCCUGGCAACUUCAGCAGUAAUUUCAGCCAGUUUGCAUUUACUGGAAGAAGUCCAUUGUCUGUUCAUGUACAUGUCUAACUCAUAAUAUUUGUUUAUAUGGUGGAUUACAUUGACAGUUUUCCAUAUGUUGAACCAUCCCUGCAUCUCUGGGAUGAAGCCUGCUUGAUCAUAAUGGACUAUCUUUUUGAUGUGUUCUUGGAUUCAGUUUGUUUAUAUUCUUUAAAGUUGAUUUGGUAAAUGUAUUUGAAAGAUGACUCUCCAAGGCCCUUGGAGUAAUGGAACCAAGACUGAUUUGAGUCUUGAAUCUGUUGAGGAAGACACACAUUAAUUUACAUCAAUAUCAGGAUGAUCUGUAUUGGAAGAAGAGCAAGUUGUACAAGGGCAACAUAGUAUCUCAGGACUUCAGCUCCUCUAGGAAAGUUACUGUUCAAGUCACAUACAUCAUAAUGCGGAAUUCUUCAUCAGUACCACAAAAAGAUCAAGG